This 652-nucleotide ribosomal RNA is filed under the name uncultured Acidobacteriota bacterium. Its description in RNAcentral is "SSU rRNA". It matches the Rfam family "Bacterial small subunit ribosomal RNA", at positions 246 to 915 of the family's 1533-position model. The record is from RNAcentral. Lineage: Bacteria; Pseudomonadati; Acidobacteriota.
UAGUUGGCAGGGUAAAAGCCUACCAAGGCAGAGAUCGGUAGCCGGCCUGAGAGGGCACACGGCCACACUGGCACUGAAACACGGGCCAGACUCCUACGGGAGGCAGCAGUGGGGAAUCUUGCACAAUGGGGGAAACCCUGAUGCAGCGACGCCGCGUGAGCGAUGAAGCCCUUCGGGGUGUAAAGCUCUUUCGGCAGGGAAGAUGGUGACGGUACCUGCAGAAGCAGCUGCGGCUAACUACGUGCCAGCAGCCGCGGUAAUACGUAGGCAGCGAGCGUUGUUCGGAGUUACUGGGCGUAAAGGGUGUGUAGGCGGUUCUUUAAGUUUGGUGUGAAAUCUCCCGGCUCAACCGGGAGGGUGCGCCGAAUACUGAGGGACUUCGAGUACGGGAGAGGAAAGUGGAAUUCCUGGUGUAGCGGUGAAAUGCGUAGAUAUCAGGAGGAACACCGGUGGUGUAGACGGCUUUCUGGACCGUAACUGACGCUGAGACACGAAAGCGUGGGUAGCAAACAGGAUUAGAUACCCUGGUAGUCCACGCCCUAAACGAUGCAUAUUUGGUGUGGGCAGUUCAUUCUGUCCGUGCCGGAGCUAACGCGUUAAAUAUGCCGCCUGGGGAGUACAGUCGCAAGGCUGAAACUCAAAGGAAUUGACG